UACGUAGGGGCGAGCGUUGUCCGGAAUUACUGGGCGUAAAGGGCGCGUAGGCGGCCUGAUAAGUUUCGUGUGAAAACCCUGUUUUUAAGGCAGGAGGUGCACGGAAAACUGUUUGGCUUGAGUGCAGGAGAGGGAAGCGGAAUUCCAAGUGUAGCGGUAAAAUGCGCAGAUAUUUGGAGGAACACCGGUGGCGAAGGCGGCUUCCUGGACUGUAACUGACGCUGAUGCGCGAAAGCGUGGGGAGCAAACAGGAUUAGAUACUCGUGUAGUCCCUGAGCGGG
This 281-nucleotide ribosomal RNA is filed under the name uncultured prokaryote. Its description in RNAcentral is "partial 16S ribosomal RNA". It matches the Rfam family "Bacterial small subunit ribosomal RNA", at positions 524 to 803 of the family's 1533-position model. The record is from RNAcentral.